Long non-coding RNA from Lampris incognitus (smalleye Pacific opah), 384 nucleotides. RefSeq lists it as uncharacterized. The transcript has 3 exons. The record is from RefSeq and is a predicted model, not a curated record. NCBI's taxonomy places the organism in Eukaryota, Metazoa, Chordata, Actinopteri, Lampriformes, Lampridae.
AAACGACAAAGGGGGAGAAAAGAAAGAGAAAGAUCAAAAGAGGGGUGUGGGGAAAUAAGUGGUAACCUGUCAACUCAAGGAGGAAACCCACGCAGACACGGGGAUAACAUGCAAACUCCACACAGAGGACGACCCAAGACGAACCCCAAGGCUGGACUACCCAGGGGCUCGAACCCAGGACCUUCUUGCUGUGAGGCGACUGCGCUUACCACUGCGCCACCGUGCCGCCUCAUCCAGCAUCUGUAGGACAAUUUCAGGAGAGUGAGUUCUGGUUGGAGGGAAGUGUGGGCGUCCAUUGAAUUACGUCCUUUGUACUGGAUCCUGUUCAUCCCCUCGUUUUCUGCUGUCUCUUGAGUAAUCAAGCAGGGUAACAGCUAUUGUACC